This 253-nucleotide ribosomal RNA is filed under the name uncultured bacterium. RNAcentral describes it as "partial 16S ribosomal RNA". It matches the Rfam family "Bacterial small subunit ribosomal RNA", at positions 524 to 776 of the family's 1533-position model. The record is from RNAcentral.
UACGAAGGGGGCUAGCGUUGCUCGGAAUCACUGGGCGUAAAGGGUGCGUAGGCGGGUCUUUAAGUCAGAGGUGAAAUCCUGGAGCUCAACUCCAGAACUGCCUUUGAUACUGAGGAUCUUGAGUUCGGGAGAGGUGAGUGGAACUGCGAGUGUAGAGGUGAAAUUCGUAGAUAUUCGCAAGAACACCAGUGGCGAAGGCGGCACACUGGCCCGAUACUGACGCUGAGGCACGAAAGCGUGGGGAGCAAACAGG